This 666-nucleotide ribosomal RNA is filed under the name Isoclerus rumcajs. RNAcentral describes it as "eukaryotic LSU rRNA". It matches the Rfam family "Eukaryotic large subunit ribosomal RNA", at positions 655 to 1270 of the family's 3401-position model. Lineage: Eukaryota; Metazoa; Arthropoda; Insecta; Coleoptera; Thanerocleridae. The record is from RNAcentral.
UGAAACACGGACCAAGGAGUCUAGCAUGUGCGCGAGUCAUUGGGAUUUACUAAACCUAAAGGCGCAAUGAAAGUGAAGGUCAGCUUUGCGCGGGCCAAGGGAAGAUGGGCGUUGCGUCCUGUAAAGGCGCGCACGCCCCGCAUUCCCGGGGCGUCUCGUUCUCAUCGCGAGAAGAGGCGCACCCAGAGCGUACACGCUGGGACCCGAAAGAUGGUGAACUAUGCCUGGUCAGGACGAAGUCAGGGGAAACCCUGAUGGAGGUCCGUAGCGAUUCUGACGUGCAAAUCGAUCGUCGGAACUGGGUAUAGGGGCGAAAGACUAAUCGAACCAUCUAGUAGCUGGUUCCCUCCGAAGUUUCCCUCAGGAUAGCUGGCGCUCGUCUUGUACGAGUCUCAUCCGGUAAAGCGAAUGAUUAGAGGCAUUGGGGUCGAAACGGCCUCAACCUAUUCUCAAACUUUAAAUGGGUGAGAUCUCCGGCUUGCUCGAACUGUUGAAGCCGCGAGACACGGAUCAGAGUGCCAAGUGGGCCAUUUUUGGUAAGCAGAACUGGCGCUGUGGGAUGAACCAAACGCCGAGUUAAAGCGCCUAAAUCGACGCUUAUGGGAUACCAUGAAAGGCGUUGGUAACUUAAGACAGCAGGACGGUGGCCAUGGAAGUCGGAAUCCG